AUUGAACGCUGGCGGCAUGCCUUACACAUGCAAGUCGAGCGGCAGCGCGGGGGCAACCCUGGCGGCGAGCGGCGAACGGGUGAGUAAUGCAUCGGAACGUGUCCUUUCGUGGGGAGUAACCAGUCGAAAGACUGGCUAAUACCGCAUGAGCUCGAGAGAGGAAAGCAGGGGACCGCAAGGCCCUGCGCGAGAGGAGCGGCCGAUGCCCGAUUAGCAGUUGGUGAGGUAACGGCUCACCAAGGCGACGAUCGGUAGCUGGUUUGAGAGAACGACCAGCCACACCGG
This 285-nucleotide ribosomal RNA is filed under the name uncultured bacterium. RNAcentral's name for it is "partial 16S ribosomal RNA". It matches the Rfam family "Bacterial small subunit ribosomal RNA", at positions 29 to 316 of the family's 1533-position model. The record is from RNAcentral.